This 148-nucleotide small RNA is filed under the name Macaca fascicularis (crab-eating macaque). RNAcentral's name for it is "Metazoan signal recognition particle RNA (ENSMFAG00000050548.1)". Lineage: Eukaryota; Metazoa; Chordata; Mammalia; Primates; Cercopithecidae. The record is from Rfam by way of RNAcentral.
GCCGGGCGUGGUGGCGCGUGCCUGUAAUCCCAGUUACUCGGGAGGCUGAGGCAGGAACAUCGCUUGAACCCAGGAGGUGGAGGCUGCAGUGAGCCAAGAUCGUGCCACUGCACUCCAGCCUGGGUGACCGAGCGAGUCUCAGUCUCAA